AACGAACGCUGGCGGCAGGCUUAACACAUGCAAGUUGAACGAUUAAGCACCUUCGGGUGUAUAUAAAGUAGCAAACGGGUGAGUAACACGUGGGAAUGUACCUUUUGGUUUGGGAUAGCCCCGGGAAACUGGGAUUAAUACCGGAUAAGGCUCUACGGAGGAAAGAUUUAUCGCCAAAAGAUCAGCCCGCGUUAGAUUAGUUUGUUGGUGAGGUAAUGGCUCACCAAGACUACGAUCUAUAGCUGGUCUGAGAGGACGAUCAGCCACACUGGGACUGAGAUACGGCCCAG
RNAcentral lists this ribosomal RNA (290 nucleotides) under uncultured bacterium. RNAcentral's name for it is "partial 16S ribosomal RNA". It matches the Rfam family "Bacterial small subunit ribosomal RNA", at positions 29 to 334 of the family's 1533-position model. The record is from RNAcentral.